CCGUGUUCCCCCCAGGCGAGCGCAGCUCCUCGGGGCUGCUCGAGUGGGACUCCAAGAGCGACGCCCUGGAGACCCUCGGCUUCCUCAACCACUUCCAGAUGAAGAACCCCAACGGGCCGUACCCCUACACGCUCAAGCUCUGCUUCUCCACGGCGCAGCACGCCUCGUAACGGGACCCCCAAAACACCCCCAGACUCCCUUUUUUAGAGCCGAGGGGCAGCCGGGACCCCCCUCACCCCCCGCCCUCCCUCCGUUUGUGUCCUUCCCCUCCCUCGAUUUUUAAGGAGAAGAGUCGGGGCCUGACGGGGCCCCUCCGUGACUCCCCCCCUCCCCCCCAAAAUAAAGUUGUUUGGAAAACA
Long non-coding RNA from Neopelma chrysocephalum (saffron-crested tyrant-manakin), 359 nucleotides. RefSeq lists it as uncharacterized. The transcript is spliced from 2 exons. The record is from RefSeq and is a predicted model, not a curated record. Lineage: Eukaryota; Metazoa; Chordata; Aves; Passeriformes; Pipridae.